RNAcentral lists this ribosomal RNA (490 nucleotides) under uncultured bacterium. RNAcentral's name for it is "partial 16S ribosomal RNA". It matches the Rfam family "Bacterial small subunit ribosomal RNA", at positions 30 to 507 of the family's 1533-position model. The record is from RNAcentral.
AUUGAACGCUGGCGGCAGGCCUAACACAUGCAAGUCGAACGGUAACAGGAAGACGCUUGCUUCUUUGCUGACGAGUGGCGGACGGGUGAGUAAUGUCUGGGAAACUGCCUGAUGGAGGGGGAUAACUACUGGAAACGGUAGCUAAUACCGCAUAACGUCGCAAGACCAAAGAGGGGGACCUUCGGGCCUCUUGCCAUCGGAUGUGCCCAGAUGGGAUUAGCUAGUAGGUGGGGUAACGACUCACCUAGGCGACGAUCCCUAGCUGGUCUGAGAGGAUGACCAGCCACACUGGAACUGAAACACGGUCCAGACUCCUACGGGAGGCAGCAGUGGGGAAUAUUGCACAAUGGGCGCAAGCCUGAUGCAGCCAUGCCGCGUGUAUGAAGAAGGCCUUCGGGUUGUAAAGUACUUUCAGCGGGGAGGAAGGGAGUAAAGUUAAUACCUUGGCUCAUUGACGUUACCCGCAGAAGAAGCACCGGCUAACUCCGUG